GUGUCAGCAGCCGCGGUAAGACGAACCGUGCAAACGUUGUUCGGAUUCACUGGGCUUAAAGGGCGCGUAGGCGGGCGGUCAAGUCAGGGGUGAAAUCUUUCGGCUCAACCGGAAAAGUGCCUUUGAUACUGGCCGUCUCGAGGGAGGUAGGGGCAUGCGGAACUUCCGGUGGAGCGGUGAAAUGCGUAGAUAUCGGAAGGAACGCCGGUGGCGAAAGCGGCGUGCUGGACCUCUUCUGACGCUGAGGCGCGAAAGCCAGGGGAGCAAACGGGAUUAGAUACCCCUGUAGUCC
RNAcentral lists this ribosomal RNA (292 nucleotides) under uncultured bacterium. RNAcentral describes it as "partial 16S ribosomal RNA". It matches the Rfam family "Bacterial small subunit ribosomal RNA", at positions 505 to 796 of the family's 1533-position model. The record is from RNAcentral.